RNAcentral lists this ribosomal RNA (484 nucleotides) under uncultured bacterium. RNAcentral's name for it is "partial 16S ribosomal RNA". It matches the Rfam family "Bacterial small subunit ribosomal RNA", at positions 30 to 507 of the family's 1533-position model. The record is from RNAcentral.
AUUGAACGCUGGCGGCAGGCUUAACACAUGCCAGUCGAGCGGAUGACGGGUGCUUGCACCUUGAUUCAGCGUCGGACGGGUGUGUAAUGCCUAGGAAUCUUACUGGUUGUGGGGGCUACCGUCCGGAAACGGGUGCUAAUCACGCAUACUUCCUAAGGGAGAAAAUGGGGGCUCUUCGGCAUUCUCGCUAUCAGAAGAGCCUAGGUCGGUAUAUCUAGGUGGUGGGGUAAAGGCUUACCCAGGCGACGAUGCGUAACUGGUCUGAGAGGAUGUUCAGUCCCACUGGAACUGAGACACGGUCGAGACUCCUGGGGGAGGCAACAGUGGAGAAUAUUAGGCGAUGGGGGAGAGCGUGAUCCAGCCAUGUGGCGUGUGUGAAGAUGCUCUUCGGAUGGUAAAGCACAUUAAGUUGGGAGGAAGGGCAGUAAGUUAAUACCUUGCGAUUUUGACGGUACCAACAUAAUAAGCACCGGCUAACUACGUG